Molecule: long non-coding RNA, 1289 nt
Filed under: Oryctolagus cuniculus (rabbit)
Lineage: Eukaryota; Metazoa; Chordata; Mammalia; Lagomorpha; Leporidae
Description: lncRNA (ENSOCUG00000031778.1)
Source: RNAcentral
GAUAAGAACAAUUCAACUAACUGAAAAUUUAUAAUGUGUUGAUGAAAUUUUUUAAUUCCCUUAUAGUACUUAAGGCAAACGUGAUUUUUACAUGUUUUAGCUGGUCAGAGUCAGGUUUGUGCCUCAUGACUGGAAUAUGAAUGUUUCAGGUGGAAACUUUUGUGGGAGGUCUCCAACACAAAAUUCUUUGCUUUUAUAUGGGCGAUUCUUUAUAAUGGACAAAGUGAACUCUGAGGAUCUGUUCCUGGAACUCUUUCUGGAUCCCAAGGCUUGUCAAUGCUUCCUUUCUCCUACUGGACUGUACUUUUGCCUUAAAUUUCUAAAUAAAUAUGAUCACAGAUCUUCUGAAUAAUUUUAUUAACCAACUUAUCCAACAGUACUAACAGAAUCAUGUGUGUUUUGUAUUUUCUUCUUAAUUCUCUUGUCAGUCACCCCUGUAGUCUUGCCAAUAUGCUUGCACCUCAUUUUUUAAAAUGUAUUUGUUUAUUUGAAAAGCAGAAGUAGAGGCAGAGUUAGAGAAAGAGAGAGAGGUUUUCCACCUGCUGGUCAAUCCUCAAAUGGAUGCAAUGGUCAGAGCUGAACCUGUCAAAAACUAGGAGGCAGGAGCUUCUUCUAGGUCUCACAUACUGGUACAGGUUCCCAAAGACUUGGGCCAUCUUAUUCCCGUUUUCCCAGACCAUAGCAGAGAGCAGAUGGAAAAUGGAGUAACUAGGAUUUGAACUGGCCUCAUAUGGGAUUCUGGCACUGUAGGUGGCAGCUUUACCUGCUAAGCCACAGCACCAGCCUGCACCUCAGUUUUUAAAUUAAAUCAUAUCCAUUAGAUUGUUUUAUAGGAAAUGAUCUUAUAUGACCUAACUCCCCCUUCCCAUAUACCACAUCUAUUACUGUUACUUUUAUUAUUUUUUAAGAUUUAUUUAUUUAUUUGAAAGUCAGAGUUAAACAGAAUGAGGAGAGGCAGAGAGAGAGAGAGAGAGAGCGAGCGAGCUCUUCCAUCCAAUGGUUCACUCCCAAAUUUGACACAAUGGCUAGAGCUGCGCUGAUCUGAAUCCAGGAGCCAGGAGCUUCUUCCUGGUCUCCCAUGUGGCAGGGGCCCAAGGACUUGGGCCAUCCUCAACUGCCUUCCCUGUCCAAAACAGAGAGCUGGAUAGGAAGAGGAGCAGCCAAGACCAGAACUAUCGCCCAUAUGGGAUCCCAGCACUUUAGGCCAGGGCAUUAACCCUCUGUGCCACAGUUUUAUAUUUCUUAAUCUGCAAAUUAUAAACAAUAAUCUCAUUGCCACUAUGUUAGGG